AUUCGCUUGGUCUAGGGGCCUAACAUGGCUGAGGUAAUGUCUUUCUGUCGCCCACAGAGACAGGCAUGUGGACAAGUUGGGUCUAAAGUUGGCACAAACCUCCCAUUUCAAUUUUUUUUAAAUUGAUCCAGAAACCCAGUAGUAGCCCCUGCAGUGAAAUUACUGUAGAUGUCCAAUGGGGGUCCUCAAGUUUGCACACCCCCUUCCUGGGCAUGACCUUGAAUUCUCCCCACAGCCUGCCAAGGCUGGCCACGGUGGAGGCAGAGACGGGACGCAGACCCAGCUUCCUCGGCAGCCAGCUGCCCCACGCUCCCCUGUGUUCGGCAACAGGACUUUUCCCAAGUUUUCUAGACGUGGGCAUAUGGUGCUCCUCCAAAGGCAUCCCCAGAUACCAGGUGGCCAAGCAGCCCAGGGCACUUCCUAGCUUGCUAGUUGCUGCAAGUUGCUUAACCUGUCUGUGCCUGACCUUAAAUUGGGGGUGAUAUAGCAUCUACAUGAAAACACACAUUGAAGAUUAAAUGAGCUAGCACUCGUGGAGGGUGUAGACAGAGCUUGGUUCACACUGUUACUGAACAGAACAGGGGCCAAAAGAAGCAAGGGUCCUGCCUGCCUGAGUUGACCCCUACCCCUCCCUUCCUGCAUAUCCUUGUUCUGCCCCUUCAGGGCUGGGGCCACUAUGUUACCUCUGCACCUUCUGCAAGUGGCUUCCUCAGCUCUGAGAUCCCUUUCUGCCUUUCUCCCCUCACUCCUGUCCACGAACCCUGCCCCCACCCCAGGGCGCUGCUCUCACCAGUUGUUCACAGGCCGCCUCUCCCCUCCCUUCAAAGACAAUACAUCGUAUUAAUAGACUUAAAAACAAGAAUCACAUGAUCAUCUCUAUAGGUGCAGAAAAAGCACUUGAUAACAUACAGCACCCCUUCAUGCUCAAAACACUAGAAAAACUAGGGAUAGUAGGAACAUACCUCAACAUUGUAAAAGCUAUAUGUGCUAAACCCAAGGCCAGCCUCAUUCUAAGUGGAGAAAAAUUGAAAGCAUUCCUGCUAAAAACUGGAACAAGACAAGGAUGUCAUCUUUCACUACUUCUGUUCAAUAUCAUCCUUGAAACUCUAGCCAGAGCAAUUAGACAGAAGAAAUUAAAGGGAUACAAAUAGGUAAAGAAGGACUCAAACUAUCACUAUUUGCUGAUGACAUGAUUCUAUAUCUAGAAGAUCAAAAAAAUCCCACCAGAAAACUUCUAGAACUAAUAAAUGAAUUCAGCAAAGUAGCAGGAAAUAGAAUCAACUCCCAUAAAUCAAACACAUUCCUAUACAUCAGCGAAGAAUCCACUGAAAGAGAAAUUAGGAAAACUACUCCAUUCACAAUAGCCUCAAAAAAAAAAAAGUCCUGGGAAUCAAUCUAACAAAAGAGGUGAAAGACCUCUACAAUGAAAACUACAGAACACUAAAGAAAGAAAUUGAAGAGAACCUCAGAAGAUGGAAAGAUCUCCUAUGCUCCUGGAUAGGCAGAAUUAAUAUUGUCAAAAUGGCCAUACUACCAGAAGUGUUAUACAGAUUUAAUGCAAUUCCUAUCAAAAUCCCAAUGACAUUCUUCAUAGAAUUAGAAAAAUCAAUCAUAAAAUUUAUUUGGAAAAAUAAGAGAUCCAGAAUAGCUAAAGCAAUCCUUAGCAAGAAAAGUGAAGCAGAAGGCAAAAAAAAUCAGACCUUAAACUAUACUACAGAGCUAUAGUAUACAUGAAAACACACAUUGAAGAUUAAAUGAGCUAGCACACGUGGAGGGUAUAGACAGAGCUUGGUUCACACUGUUAACCAAGUGUGAAACAGCAUGAUAUUGGCACCAAAAUAGACUUGUAGAACAAUGGUACAGAAUAGAGGUCACAGAGACAAACCCACAUAAAUAUGGCUAUGUCACACUAGACAAAGGUGCCAAAAACAUUCACUGGAGAAAAGACAGCCUAUUCAACAAAUGGUGCUGGCAAAACUGGAAAUCCAUAUGUAGCAAAAUGAAAUUAAACCUCUAUCUCUCACCCUGCACAAAAAUCAACUUGAAGAGGAUAAAAGACUUAGGCACUUAGAUCAGAGACCCUGCGCCUAAUAGAAGAAAAAAUAGGCCCAAAUAUUCACCAUGUCAACCUAGGAUCUGACUUCCUAAACAAGACCCCUAAAAUGUAAGAAGUAAAUCAAGAAUUAAUAAAUGGUAUGAAUUCAAAUUAAAAAGCUUUUUCUCAGCAAAGGAAACAAUUAAUAAAGUGAGGAGAAAGCCUACAGAUUGGGAGAAAAUCUUCACCACAUACACCUCCAAUAAAGCAUUAAUCUCUAGGAUCUAUAAAGAACUCAAAAAACUUAACACUCAAAACACAAAUAACCCAAUCAAUAAAUGGGCUAAGGAACUGAACAGACACUUCACAAAAGAAGAAAUACAAUUGACCAACAAAUAUAUGAAAAAGUGUUUAACACCUCUAGCAAUUAGAGAAAUGCAAAUCAUUUCUCUUAGAUUUCGUCUCACUCCUGUCAGAAUGGCAAUAAUCAAGAAUAAAGGCAACAAUAAAUGUUGGUGAGGAUGUGGUGAAAAGGGUACACUCAUUCAUUGCUGGUGAGACUGCAAAUUGGUGCAACCACCGUGGAAAGCAGUAUGGAGAUUCCUCAGAAAAUUGGGAAUGGAACCACCAUUUAACCCAGCUAUCCCACUCCUUGUUUUAUAGCCAAAGGACUUAAAAUCAGCGUACUAUAGUGACGCAGCCACAUCAAUGUCUAUAGCACCUCAAUUCACAAUAGCUAGACUAUGGAACCAACCUAGGUGUCCCUCAAUAGAUGAAUGGAUAAAGAAUAUAUGGUAUAUAUACUCAGUGGAAUAUUACUCAGCUUUAAAGAAGAGUUAAAUUACGGCAGUUGCCAGUAAAUGGUUAGAGUUGGAGAACAUCGUGCUAAGCAAAAUAAGCCAAUCCCACAAAUCCAAAGGCCAAGUGUUUUCUCUAAUAUGCAGAUGCUAAUUAACAAUAAGGCAGGGGAGCACUAGGGAAGAAUAGCGUUACCUUACAUUAGGUAGAGGGAAGUUAUGGGAGGGGAGGGGAGGGGAUGUGUGGGUAGGAAUGAUAGUAGAACGAAACAGACAUGAUUACUAUAUGUGUAUAUGUGACUGAAUGACCAAUAUGAUUCUACAACAUGUACACUCAGAAAAAUGAGAAAUUGUAUCCAUCUAUUUAUGACAUAUCAAAAUGAAUGAA
This 3220-nucleotide long non-coding RNA is filed under the name Marmota monax (woodchuck). Lineage: Eukaryota; Metazoa; Chordata; Mammalia; Rodentia; Sciuridae. The record is from RNAcentral.